Molecule: long non-coding RNA, 258 nt
Organism: Molossus molossus (Pallas's mastiff bat)
Lineage: Eukaryota; Metazoa; Chordata; Mammalia; Chiroptera; Molossidae
Exons: 3
Source: RefSeq, a predicted model, not a curated record
CUGAGGGAGCGGAUGGGUGAGCUGACCCAGAGCUGGGUUUUGUACAAUUGGAGGAAUGGAAGGGGCCAAGAGACAGACUAACCAGAAGAACUAAGGGAGGAAAUUUCCCCUCCCCCACAGCUGGCAAGCCAGCCAGGAGACUUCACUGGCCGGACAGAGUUCACACUGGGACUGCUGCGAAUGAUGAGAUCUUGGGGCAGCUCAUACGCACUGGCAGAAGGAAUGUGGGGCUGGAAGUGACCUCUCUGGUGAUUAGGC